This 421-nucleotide ribosomal RNA is filed under the name uncultured bacterium. RNAcentral's name for it is "bacterial SSU rRNA". It matches the Rfam family "Bacterial small subunit ribosomal RNA", at positions 355 to 774 of the family's 1533-position model. The record is from RNAcentral.
UAAGGAAUAUUGGUCAAUGGACGCAAGUCUGAACCAGCCAUGCCGCGUGAAGGAUGAAGGUCCUCUGGAUGGUAAACUUCUUUUAUCUGGGACGAAAACGGGAUUUUUAUCUCAAUUGACGGUACCAGAGGAAUAAGCACCGGCUAACUCCGUGCCAGCAGCCGCGGUAAUACGGAGGGUGCGAGCGUUAUCCGGAUUUACUGGGUUUAAAGGGUGCGUAGGUGGGCUUAUAAGUCAGUGGUGAAAUCUCCGAGCUUAACUUGGAAACUGCCGUUGAUACUAUAGGUCUUGAAUUAUCUGGAGGUAAGCGGAAUAUGUCACGUAGCGGUGAAAUGCUUAGAUAUGACAUAGAACACCAAUUGCGAAGGCAGCUUACUACAUAUAAAUUGACGCUGAGGCACGAAAGCGUGGGGAUCAAACA